Molecule: long non-coding RNA, 1156 nt
Filed under: Ananas comosus (pineapple)
Lineage: Eukaryota; Viridiplantae; Streptophyta; Magnoliopsida; Poales; Bromeliaceae
Description: long non-coding RNA (ACOM_LNC012593)
Source: RNAcentral
AAAUCUUAACCAUUUAUUUUUUUAAAUAGAUGGUUAAGAUGUAAUAUGAUUCUAGAGAUGACCUACUAUUCAAACAUCUGUACCAUUCAUCAUAUUUUGGCCUUAGAAAAAAUUUUUAGUCUACAAAACCGGUUUUAUCCAACUAAGAAUACUAUAACCUUCUCAAAUACCUAUAGCAAUAGUUGAAAUUCAAAUUACAACUAAACUGUAAAUUUAAAUGCAAAGCAACAUAAAAAACUUAAUUAUAAAUCAAAUUCAACUUUUAAAUAUAAAACACAAAUUUAAAAUAAAACUUUCAGUUCAAAUUCAAAAUUUUAAUUUAAAUCAAAAAUUAAAAUUUGACUUUCAGAUUAAAACUACAAUAUAGAUUCAAAAUUUAAAAUUUUAAUAUAAUUUUUGAAAUUAAAAUUUUACAUUACAAUACGAACUUCAAAAAUUAAAUUUAAAUUUAAUAUUUUUUUGAGUUGGAUAAUUAACAAAUUGGGUAUUAUCUAAUUUGGUAAGUAACAAAAUUAAAUAAAAUAUUUAAUAUUAUAGGAUGCUAACAAAUUUGGCAUAUACUACUAAUUUUUUUUCAAUAAUAUCAUAUUAACUAAUUCAAUUCGAUAACAUGUUUAAUAGGUUACUUUAUGUAAAAUCCAACUAUACCCUUUACUAAUUAAAAGUUUGAUUUUAAUACUUAUGGUGUAUUGAAGUAUUGCUCUAAGGGCAUGUUUGGUUCAUCUAUUUUAGACUAUGGAAUCGGAAUGGAAUUCAUUGAUUCCGAUAGUUGCCGUUUGUUUUAUAGGAAUAAGAUUCCGAUUCUCAUUUCACUCCGGAAUGGGAAUGACCAAAUCCAUUUAUAAUUCAAUCCGACUUUGAAUCCCAGAAUGGCUGAUUCCAAAAUAAACUAUUCAAAAUCCUCUUUCACCAACACCGAUCUUCUCUCUCUUCAUCACUUUUUUCUUUCUUAAUCAAAACUCUCUCUCAAAUAUUUUAAAUUUUCAUUCCAAUUUCGAUUCCAAUAAUGAACCAAAUAUUUUGAAUGAUUCGUCAUUCCAUUUUCCAUUCCAAAACAAUCCAAUUCUAUUUUUCAUUUCUAUUCCAAUCAUGAACCAAACAUGCCCUAAAAGUUAUUGCCGGAUAACUUAAUUACCACUCCAUUCAAAGCAUUUGU